GCAUAGGGAGACCUGGGGCACGGGGACUGAGACAGCGCGGACACUCUUACUGGAGGCAAUUUUGGGGAGUAUUGCCCUCUGGGGGAAAGCCUGAUGCAUGGACGCCGCGUGCGGGAUGACGGCCUUCGGGUUGUAAACCUCGUUCAGCAGGGACGAAGCGCAAGUGACGGUACCUGCAGAAGAAGCACCGGCUAACUACGUGCCAGCAGCCGCGGUAAUACGUAGGGUGCAAGCGUUGUCCGGAAUUACUGGGCGUAAAGAGUUCGUAGGCGGUUUGUCGCGUCUUUUGUGAAAACCAGCAGCUCAACUGCUGGCUUGCAGGCGAUACGGGCAGACUUGAGUACUGCAGGGGAGACUGGAAUUCCUGGUGUAGCGGUGAAAUGCGCAGAUAUCAGGAGGAACACCGGUGGCGAAGGCGGGUCUCUGGGCAGUAACUGACGCUGAGGAACGAAAGCGUGGGUAGCGAACAGGAUUAGAUACCCUGGUAGUCCACGCCGUAAACGGUGGGCGCUAGGUGUGGGUUCCUUCCACGGAAUCCGUGCCGUAACUAACGCAUUAAGCGCCCCGCCUG
RNAcentral lists this ribosomal RNA (571 nucleotides) under Rhodococcus sp. (in: high G+C Gram-positive bacteria). Its description in RNAcentral is "bacterial SSU rRNA". It matches the Rfam family "Bacterial small subunit ribosomal RNA", at positions 293 to 875 of the family's 1533-position model. The record is from RNAcentral. Lineage: Bacteria; Bacillati; Actinomycetota; Actinomycetes; Mycobacteriales; Nocardiaceae.